UCCCUGGAGGACUAGUGGUUAGGCCAUAGUGCUCUCACUCUGCAACCCUGGUUCGAUUCCUGGCCAAGGAA
Non-coding RNA from Pangasius djambal, 71 nucleotides. The record is from the annotation of a GenBank genome assembly. NCBI's taxonomy places the organism in Eukaryota, Metazoa, Chordata, Actinopteri, Siluriformes, Pangasiidae.